CUGCCGAGGAAUACGGGAAGAGGACAACACCCAAACUGGCAUGCCUGCGGAUGGCCCCGUGGUGCCAAACUUUGUUGCCAGUUUCCUAAAAAAAAGUGGGGAAGAUUUUUUCAACAAAAUAUCCAACAGCAGUGAUGUAACAGGAGAGUGAAAACGCAGCCAGGAGCCCCCAGUGAUGCAGCAACUAGAUGGAAAAUGGGAUCUGGUGAGGCGUGCAUGAUCUCCAACCACAAAACGGGGAGAAAAGAAAAAUCGGAUUGCCUGAUGCCUUGUGUAAAUUCAGCCAGACCUUGCAUGUUUGUGUGAUGCUGAUGACAUAAUAUCAGACCAACUCAAGAGACAAAAGAUGGAUCCAUAAAAGCAAACGGAAGACUUGCUGUCAGAGCUAACAAGGAUUCCUAAGUGAAGAGAAGAGACUCAAUAACUAACAUUUUUUUUAGAUAUUUCUUGAAAUUGCUUAUUCCUUUUUUUCACCUGUUAAAAUUUUUAUUUAGAUUAACAGUGCAUUGUGUUUACGAUGCCAUAUCUUCUUGCCGUAUUUGAAUAAACUGAAGCCAAUAUUGCUUUUCCCAUUUAAUUGAUUGUCGUCAUUCUUCCCUUGUUAGAUCAGGGGAUUCCAUGUUACACAAUGACAAACUUUGCAUCCAAAGAAAACAAAAUGACUUCAUCUUUACUGUUUAAGUUUUCUAACCAAAUCUUCAGGUUUUAAAUGUUUUUAUAUUCAUUGAUACUAAAUGCAUAGCAUUUUAAUGACCUUUUUCUUUAAACAUUACCGGUUUACUCAAAAAGUGGGUGUUUAGAAUAUGAUUGUAGAUAUGUUUGAAUAAAAAUGAGUCAUUUGUCACAUUUCUUGUGAUUUAUUUUCUGUUCAAAAAAUAAAGAAAUUCUAAUUUGCCACCAUUUUGAAUGUUAUACUAACUAUUUUUGCAAUGUUAAACACAGAAAUGUGAACAAUAAAUCAGGAAACUAU
RNAcentral lists this long non-coding RNA (970 nucleotides) under Oryzias sinensis (Chinese medaka). RNAcentral describes it as "lncRNA (ENSOSIG00000015194.1)". Lineage: Eukaryota; Metazoa; Chordata; Actinopteri; Beloniformes; Adrianichthyidae. The record is from RNAcentral.